Long non-coding RNA from Juglans regia (Persian walnut), 511 nucleotides. RefSeq lists it as uncharacterized. The transcript is spliced from 3 exons. NCBI's taxonomy places the organism in Eukaryota, Viridiplantae, Streptophyta, Magnoliopsida, Fagales, Juglandaceae. The record is from RefSeq and is a predicted model, not a curated record.
UCAUUAACUUGUUUCACCUCAAAAGAUUGAGAGAACAUCUGGUAAAUAUUUAGUGAAAAAUGGUAUCCGUAGAUUUGCUUGCAGUGAGACCCUCGAAGUUGGUCAUGUAACUUUCUACUGGAAUGGAAACUGCUAUAGAUAUUUUAAUCCAACACUGGAGGAAUACGUGAAAAUACCAAGUGAUUCCUGAAUUACAUUCAAUGUCCAGCCAAAGAUGAAGGCAGUGGAAAUUACAUUCAAUGCCUACCAAGUGGUGACAUGGAGUUUCUAGCAUGAGGAGAAUGAGAUUAAGUCAAGAGCUUGAUCCUUCGUUAACAGUUCGUUACCAUGAGAGGAAACCGAUGCGACAGAUCCAGUGAAGAUCAACGACGAUGUAGCUGAAAAUGGGCUCACUAGAUGAAAAAGACACCAAGCACAGACAAAUCUGGUGGCCGGACAAACUAUAAUGAAUGACGAUGGAUGAGAUCAAGAGAAAUUUUGCUUGAUGCAAAAGGAUGGAAACAGAGAAUAA